ACGGGGUGCAGCAGGCGCGAAAACUCCGCAAUGUUCGAAAGAACGACGGGGGAACUCCAAGUGCACUUGCGCAAGCAAGUGGUUUUUAGUAGUGUAAAUAGCUGUUAGAAUAAGAGCUGGGUAAGACCGGUGCCAGCCGCCGCGGUAACACCGGCAGCUCGAGUGGUGACCGCUUUUAUUGAGCCUAAAGCGUUCGUAGCCGGUCCAGUAAGUCUUUGGGCAAAUCUUCUCGCUCAACGAAAAGAGUUUCGAAGAUACUGCUGGACUUGGGGCCGAGAGAGGUUAGAGGUACUCCUGGGGUAGGGGUGAAAUCCUAUAAUCCUGGGGGGACCGCCAGUGGCGAAGGCGUCUAACCAGAGCGGACCCGACGGUAAGGGACGAAAGCCAGGGGCGCGAACGGGAUUAGAUACCCCGGUAGUCCUGGCCGUAAACGCUGCAUGCUAGGUGUUGCAUGCUCUACGGGGGCAUACAGUGCCGAAGAGAAGUUGAUAAGCGUGCCGCCUGGGAAGUAUUAUCGCAAGGUAGAAACUUAAAGGAAUUGGCGGGGGCGCAC
Molecule: ribosomal RNA, 553 nt
Filed under: uncultured archaeon
Lineage: Archaea
Description: bacterial SSU rRNA
Rfam family: Archaeal small subunit ribosomal RNA
Source: RNAcentral